RNAcentral lists this long non-coding RNA (507 nucleotides) under Malus domestica (apple). RNAcentral describes it as "long non-coding RNA (MDOM_LNC001518)". Lineage: Eukaryota; Viridiplantae; Streptophyta; Magnoliopsida; Rosales; Rosaceae. The record is from RNAcentral.
GAAUUUAGGUUAAAAAUUCUCAUUUCCUUCAAAAGGAAUCUGAUAUAAUGUUGCCCCAAUCCGCCCCGGAAAAAUAUUUUACCUAGUUAUAAGCCCAAAUCAAUCUCCACCAGACGGCCAUAGGCCCACUGGGCCCAGUUUCUCAGAAAGAGAGAAAAAAGUUUCACCCAAGCCCAACAUUAUGAUCAGCACACCCAGCUCUAACAAAAUUCUGAAAUUUUCAAUUAUAUUGCAUCCUAAAAAAGAAAAAAGGGAAAGUACAAGGAUAGAUGAACUUCUGCAUCACAUUACAAAUGUCCCACAAACGAGAUCACUACAUACAACCGGAUACGAGAAGGCGGUAGCCAUGGCAGCCAAAGGCCUUGACCAUCAAGCAACUGACGGCCACCACUUUGGACUACAGCAACCGGUCCCGAAAACUGUCUGUUUUGUCAAGUCUAGCCGUACCCGAGCUUGAUGAUUCGCCCAUUGCAUCUGGGGAAGCUGCUCUCUGGGAUGCAUCUUUCU